UACGUAGGCAGCGAGCGUUGUUCGGAGUUACUGGGCGUAAGGAGUGUGUAGGCGGUUUGCCAAGUUCGGUGUGAAAUCUCCCGGCUUAACUGGGAGGGUGCGCCGAAAACUGGCAGGCUUGAGUGCGGGAGAGGAGAGCGGAAUUCCUGGUGUAGCGGUGAGAUGCGUAGAUAUCAGGAGGAACACCUGCGGUGUAGGCGGCUACCUGGACCGAUAUUGACGCUGAGACGCGAAAGCGUGGGGAGCAAACAGG
RNAcentral lists this ribosomal RNA (253 nucleotides) under uncultured bacterium. RNAcentral describes it as "partial 16S ribosomal RNA". It matches the Rfam family "Bacterial small subunit ribosomal RNA", at positions 524 to 776 of the family's 1533-position model. The record is from RNAcentral.